GUUUUGUUAAAUAUCCUUUGUGUUAUUUUUUGGUCCAAUAUCCAAUAUAAUGUGAAUCUGUGAAUAACCUCUUUAUAUUACUAUGAAUGGUUGUGCAUAUUAGUAGCAUGAAGAAAUUCAAUUGCAUCAUGCUAAAGGGCCCUUCUACAAUGAUAUGCUAUGAAAAACAAACAAAAAAAAACAUGUGGGAUAAAUCAAGCAGGCUAAACAAAGAAGCCAGUGGACAUUUGGGCAUGCAUCAAGGCCAUUUUCUCCUUUGGUAGUGAAAAUAGUAAAUUGUUAGCAUUGCAGUCUUCAAGAAGGUCUACAGCAUGUAAGUUAUAGUGGAUAGCAUCCAUAUUUGUUUAAUUAUAUACUUAGAAUUUAGUUACUAUUUGUAUUUUUUACAGCACAACAAUGUUUUCAAAUUACCACUGGAAUUAAUGUCAUUUCAUAUUCAUAGUAAUUUGUUGUCAAUGGUAUUUAUCAUUAACUCAGUUUUGCAAAUGAGAAAACUAAGUUUAAAGUGAUUAUGUGAAAUGCCCGAUGUUAUACACUCCAUAGUUCAAGUAACCAAUAUUAUAACACAAAUCUAUAAUUGACAUAAAACAGUUUUCAUACUUGACAAUGAAUAAAGAGACUUUUACAUUAAACAACUAAAUUCUUUUAUGAUAUAACUAAUUUCCUUUAAUAUAUUCAUCUCUCACUCCAGAAAUUUAUUGCUCAACAGAGGAAGCCAGAUAAAAAUAUGCUGAUAAAACACUAACGAAUUAUAUGAAGGAAACAUCCCUUGAGGAACCCAAGAGAAGUUUUUUUCUGAACAAGGAGGACAUUCUUUCAUUAAUAAAAGGAAUAUAAAUGUGAUGAAAUAAAGGAAAUAGUUGCUAAAAAGGAAGUACAAUAGAAGUGUGAAAGAACAGGAGGUCCAAACAUGCUAAGCAAUAAGUUGAGUGGAUCAGAUGAUUUAGUAAGGAAAUAAUCAGUUAAGACAGUCUAGGUCUGUGUUUUACAGGCUGUGAUUUGUGACCCCUUUGAGAAUAAAAUAACUCCUUCAGAAGGGUGGGUGGCCUAAGACCAUCGGAAACAUGGUUAUUUAUAUUACGUUUCAUAACAGUAGCAAAAUUACAGUUAUGUUGUAGUAAGGAAAAUAAUUUUAUUAUUUGGUUCACCAUAGGGUAAGGGAUUGUAUUAAAGUUUCACUGCUUAGGAAGGUUGAGAACCACUGGUCUAGGUGGUAGAAUGAUUGGAAUGAUGGGUUGUUUACUUCCAAUGAGACUAUAAUAUUCAAUAUUCAGUUGUUCUCUGAGGAAGCCUAUGGCAAUCCCAGAAAGAAAAUAUAAAGGAUAGAGGUGAUGUUCAGUAUUAAAUAAAUGGCCUAAUGUACAUGAGCCCCUUGUUUCAACCCCGACACUGCUUUUUGAAAUGACCAUGUGAAUUGCAGAAGGCCAGUGAGUUGCAAAGGGUCAAUUCUAUAUAAUUGGCCUAUGAAAGAGUUAAAAUAUGAUAUUAGCAUAAAUUUUUUGUCACUAAAUGCCAUUUUAUAACAAAAGUCAGAUCCAUAUAGUCUUAUGUAAUUCAGGAAAAGUAACAAGCAAUAUUUUAUAAUAAAUAUCUGGAUGUGUAGGAAAAUAUUUUUCAUAACUAAGACUCUUCAAAAUACCCUAAUAGUAAUAGUCACCUUUCUGUCUCUGGAAAUUUUGGAAGGCAAUGUCUUAGAAUUACCUCCUUACCUCAUCCACUGAGAAAUAUAUAAUAAAGACAUUAGGGGUUUUGCUGUCUGGUCCUAUUAUUAACACUCCAUGGAUUCAGUGGAGAGUAAAGAAUUUCCUAAGAAAAUGAGACACAGACUUAAAGAAAUGGGCAGAGGUGGUGUCAACUGUAAUAAGACAUAAAAUUAGAACAUUUUCUCCUUUCAUAAGAGUACAUUUUACCUUGGUGGCUUUUAAAAUAAAUGUCAAUUUGAAAAAUGAAGGAAGCCUCUUUGUGGCUGAAUCACUUCUAAAGUUCCAGUAAUCAUUCUUGCUCAUUGCCUCACUUUCUGUUUCAGCUUUCUGGGUCUUUUUUUUUUUCUCAUUCCAUUCUUCUCUUAGUGUCUCUAUUCCCAUAAACUAGUUUACUGAGCCUCUACUGUUAGGAUGGUAUAGUUAUUGAUAAACUACUACAGUUUAGGUACAACUUUAUCUGAAAAUUUAUCUUAAAUACAGGAUGUAUAUGUGACAGACAGACACAUGUGUGCAUUCUCUGUGUCUGGCUAUUCAUUGACUGAAAGCUCUCUCUCAAGCCACUGAUUGAAGUUUCAAAAUGAGAAAAUUAAAAUGGCCUCAUAGAACCUGUCCUUAAAUUGGAAAGGAACCAAGGAACCAAGCUGUUCUUCUGAUACGGAUGAAAGGGCCCAUCUCAAAAAAUAUUUGAACCCACUCAAAAUUUCAAAAGAACAUAAACUAAAGGCCCAAGCCCUGGGAGAUAUAUUUUGCAGGGGCAGCUAGAGAGCUAAAGGGGAAAUACAAAAUUCUUGUCUAUUUUUACUUAAUCCCACACAGAUCUAAUCUCAUCCUUGAUGAAACAUAACUCUUAAUCAAAUUCUGUGUAAAAAGAAAGGGGGAAAACCACUUCAAGCACAAUUCAUACUUUAUUUUUAUCUCAAUUAUUCUCCCCAGAGCCAUUAACUGGCCUGUGGCUUUGGGGCUUACCUGCAAAUGGUAAAUGGUCAGAGGCCACUGAAAAUUAUUAGUCUAAACUCCCUAUCUUCCUUCCGUGUUAAAGUAGUUUAGGGCUUCCCAUGUAGAACUCAAACUCCAGGCUCUUCAUUUCAAUUUUUAAAGUAUAAGUAAUAACAAAAUGGCAUUUCGUUGUGACUAGAUAUAAUUUAUUUUGGGCUGAGAGUGCUGCAAGUAUCAUUCAGCUGGUUUAUGUAAGCCUAACUUUGGCAUAGUACAAAUUAAAAUAGAAAGACCCUUUACAAUGAUGUCCAAAUUUUUGACGAUGAGAGUUAUUUCCUCAUAUUUAUAAAUUUUCAGGACUUACAUUCUUCUCUCAAUCCUGUUUCAUCUUUACAUAAAAUUGAUAGUUCUCAAAUUUUGUGGUAAGCCUAAAUCAUCUGAACCCUCUUUAAAAGAUCAGGUAUUUCAACAUAAGUUAUUUAAUGUUUAUUUAAUAUGCCUAGAUUUUUGGCUCCGGAAGUUCCUAGACAAUUCUUUUGAACCAUCCUGAUGAUGAGGCUUGCUAACUUAGUAGCUGCAACCAAGUAGCAAGAAGCUGAUGUCUGUUGAAGAAAUGUUGAUGUUCAGUUUCCUAAAAGACUAACAAUAAUGAUUUGACACAUUGAAACUUACCAGUAUCAUAAAAGUUCUAGUUGAUAAUGAGACCAUACACAUUGCUAAUUAAAUGCAGAGCAAAACAAGUAAGAAAGUUCAAGAGAUUUUUAUUGUCUAUGGCCCUCUACCAAAAAGAUGUUCUAUUUUCAACAUUAUUGAAAACACCACUUGGAAAUGCUACUUGGAAGAAGGAGAACAUGUACCACUUUUCUUUUUUAUCUAUGUAAUAGAAAAUAGCAGAGGUCACCUUGUGGGGCAGAAGCAAAACUGAAAUUAAGUUAUUCUUAAAUGUCCACUUAGGGUUUUGAGAAUUUUGCAUUUGGUUGUGCAACCCCUCUAACAACUCUAUACUCCAGGAUGUUCUGGUAGCUUUGUCUCUGCUUCAGACCUCUUAAGUAUUCUUAAAAUUGAGUGUGGUUCAUAUACCGUGUCUGUGUGAGGAUAAUGGCCCACGCCUUCCUCAAUAAUGUUGUUCUUGUCCUGAGUGUUCUAGCCAACACAGUUCAUCUCCAUGGCAACUCCUGCUUUGGCUCAGCCUGGGGAUUAGAAUGACUUCAUUUCAUACACCUGAUAAGGGAAGAUGGGAUUUACUGUGUAGAGAAGGUUCUUACUUCAAACAGAAAUAGGGGAUUAGGAUGACUUCAUUCCACGUAUCUGAUAAGUUUCUUCAAACAAACAUAAUCAACAAACAGCCAUAUUUGUUCCUGUUUUGAAGGACGGCCUUGUGAUCCACAUAACUGAUGCACUAAAUAGGCUCCAGAAGGUACUUGUAGAACUUCCUCCUCCAUCACUCCCAUUUUUACUAAUUAAUGGUAGAAGGCUUGAGCACUGAAAAGUAUAACAAAAUCAGCCACUCAUUCAAUGAGCAUCCUUUCUAUUGCCCCAUAUGAGGAGCUAAAUUAUUUCAUAUAAUUACAUUAAUUGUUACUGUCAUUGAGUAGCUGAGUCCCACAGCCAUAGGAAUGAUUCUUCUGUUAGACCUGGGAGAAAGGAGCUUCUCCUCUCUUGGGACAAGGACAAGGGAGUUCAGUAAGAUUCUUCUGUUUAGAAAAAGACAACAUACUCGAAAUUAUCAGAUUUUUUUAAUUAUUAAAUUUGCUUUUUGAUGAUUUUGUACAUCUAUGCAAUGCAUUCCAUGACUACCCAUGUCCUACUACCCUUGUCAACUCCUGCCCCACUACCC
Molecule: long non-coding RNA, 4476 nt
Filed under: Mus musculus (house mouse)
Lineage: Eukaryota; Metazoa; Chordata; Mammalia; Rodentia; Muridae
Description: long non-coding RNA chrX:97851417-97855893
Source: RNAcentral